Molecule: ribosomal RNA, 253 nt
Filed under: uncultured bacterium
Lineage: Bacteria
Description: partial 16S ribosomal RNA
Rfam family: Bacterial small subunit ribosomal RNA
Source: RNAcentral
UACGUAGGGUGCGAGCGUUAAUCGGAAUUACUGGGCGUAAAGCGUGCGCAGGCGGCUUUGCAAGACAGAGGUGAAAUCCCCGGGCUCAACCUGGGAACUGCCUUUGUGACUGCAAGGCUAGAGUACGGCAGAGGGAGAUGGAAUUCCGCGUGUAGCAGUGAAAUGCGUAGAUAUGCGGAGGAACACCGAUGGCGAAGGCAGUCCCCUGGGCCUGUACUGACGCUCAUGCACGAAAGCGUGGGGAGCAAACAGG